UCGGGAAUUUUGGGCAAUGGGCGAAAGCCUGACCCAGCAACGCCGCGUGAGGGAUGAAGUAUUUCGGUAUGUAAACCUCGAAAGAAUGGGAAGAAUAAAUGACGGUACCAUUCAUAAGCUCCGGCUAACUACGUGCCAGCAGCCGCGGUACUACGUAGGGAGCAAGCGUUGUUCGGAUUUACUGGGCGUACAGGGCGCGUAGGCGGCGCGGUAAGUCACUUGUGAAAUCUCUGAGCUUAACUCAGAACGGCCAAGUGAUACUGCUGUGCUAGAGUGCGGAGGAGGCAACCGGAAUUCUUGGUGUAGCGGUGAAAUGCGUAGAUAUCAAGAGGAACACCUGAGGCGAAGGCGGGUUGCUGGGCCGACACUGACGCUGAUGCGCGAAAGCCAGGGG
RNAcentral lists this ribosomal RNA (394 nucleotides) under uncultured bacterium. RNAcentral's name for it is "bacterial SSU rRNA". It matches the Rfam family "Bacterial small subunit ribosomal RNA", at positions 355 to 766 of the family's 1533-position model. The record is from RNAcentral.